GAGCUCAAUUGGUUAGAGCGUGGUGCUGAUAACGCCAAGGUCGCAGUUUCGAUCCCCACACA
Molecule: transfer RNA, 62 nt
Filed under: Podarcis lilfordi (Lilford's wall lizard)
Lineage: Eukaryota; Metazoa; Chordata; Lepidosauria; Squamata; Lacertidae
Description: tRNA.Ile
Source: RNAcentral